UGCGUUCCUGCCCAUUGCUCGCUCCUGGAAGGCCGGGCUCUGGGGAGGUGCCGCAGGCUGCUGCGCACAGGGAUUGCCCCUGCAUUUCACACAUGCUCAAACUACUGAAACCCUAAUAAAACUUAGGUAGACUCAGAUGCAUUCUAUAUACAUGUCAGUGGAUUGAAUACUAUUAGUUUUGUUGGAUUAGCCUGUUUUUGUACAGAGGUCCAAAUAAAGCAAGCAGCUGGAAGACGCUUGCCGUUGCUACCCCUUCUUUUCAUAAAGCCCUUUGAAGUAAAUGCAGAGGCAGCUGAGACUGCGCCGUGGCUUAACUGCUGGGCUGUAGAGUUACCUGGCCCAGUCCCAUCUCACCGCAGUCCAGCUCUAUGACCUUGAGCAAGGAAUGUAACCUCUCUGAGUCAGAGCCAUCAUCUGUAGGAUGGGCACAAUGAGAGGCACACCCGAGGAGUGAAUGCCCUUAGGCAGAGGCAGUAACUUGCAGGGCGCAGUCGGAUGUUAGCCUGGUGGUGGUGGUGGUCAUCAUUUUAGCCUUAACCCCCAAUGUCAAGAUUUUGAAGAGUCUCUCUUUUUUUUUUCAUUGAUUGAAUUUAUAAGUUAAGGGCUGCUGUAUGUAAAUUCCACAAAAAUGCUUCUUUGCUAAAAAAAAAAAAAAAAGAAAAAGGAGAGACGGGUUUGGAAUGGUUGGUUUAGACCGGAAAGCACAGCUCCACCUGGUCGACAGUGGAGACCUUCCCACGGAGUUGGUCUUGAGGACUGGGAUCCUUUGGCUUCUGAUGUCUGCCUGCAUUGGCUCUGCCCACUGCGCUUACUGAAAUUUGACAGAAGAAAUGGCCACAAAAGAAACCUUUCCAUGAAACUGCCAGUAAGGACUUCACGUAUCCAUUCCGCAGAAACUCCCUGCACUGCUUUGAUGAGCCUGGCAGGGUGGUGAACGCUCUCCCCGCUGGCCGUGUCCCAGUGAAUCUCCCAGCAGCCCUCGAGUUUCCCUUCUGCCUUGGCUGCCCAGAAGGAAGCUUCACAACCUUUUGUGCUGCCUUUGCCUUAGCCCAGCUUUUCCUCUGUCACAUCAGUUUUUCUCUUGAAAUCUUGGGUUUAUUCUUAAAAUUAUGAAAACAGAUUGAAUGUACAUUGUUA
Molecule: long non-coding RNA, 1137 nt
Filed under: Sus scrofa (pig)
Lineage: Eukaryota; Metazoa; Chordata; Mammalia; Artiodactyla; Suidae
Description: lncRNA (ENSSSCG00070019147.1)
Source: RNAcentral